Molecule: ribosomal RNA, 274 nt
Filed under: Escherichia coli
Lineage: Bacteria; Pseudomonadati; Pseudomonadota; Gammaproteobacteria; Enterobacterales; Enterobacteriaceae
Description: partial 23S ribosomal RNA
Rfam family: Bacterial large subunit ribosomal RNA
Source: RNAcentral
UUAAGCGACUAAGCGUACACGGUGGAUGCCCUGGCAGUCAGAGGCGAUGAAGGACGUGCUAAUCUGCGAUAAGCGUCGGUAAGGUGAUAUGAACCGUUAUAACCGGCGAUUUCCGAAUGGGGAAACCCAGUGUGAUUCGUCACACUAUCAUUAACUGAAUCCAUAGGUUAAUGAGGCGAACCGGGGGAACUGAAACAUCUAAGUACCCCGAGGAAAAGAAAUCAACCGAGAUUCCCCCAGUAGCGGCGAGCGAACGGGGAGCAGCCCAGAGCCU